UUUUCUCUAAUUAGGGUUUUCAAUUUUUUUUCCCAAUCUCCUCCGCUCCUCAAGCCAUCUCCGAUCAAAUCCGCUCCUCGGCUUACUCGGAGAUUUACUCGGCCGAUGAAACUAUCUAGUAGCAGGUUCUUUUCUUAUCUCUUCUGUUCAUUGCUAAUCUCACGAAUCUCAUGAUUUUGUUUAGUCUUAUUCAAGCCGUAUUCUUACGAUGAAAGGGGUUUUGUUCUUUUUCUCUAAUUAGGUCUUCUGAUUCUUCGUGUCUGUAGUUCUCGGCAUCUCUCACUCCUAUCAGAUCCAUAGAGAUUCUUCGCCGCCGCAUCUUACGAAAACCUCUAUGGAUCUGUUUCGUGUACAAAAUCCUCUACCAUCAGGUUAUGCGUUUUUCUUUUCUAUCUCUUUCGUUGCAAAUCUCAUGAGAAUCUGGUGGUUUGUAUAUUGAAUCUUUUAGUCUUAUUCAGUUUAUACCUUAUUAUUGGAUUCUUACUAUAUUUUACAAAAGUUGUGCUUGCUUGAUGAUUGUUAGGUUCCUGGUUAGGUUUUUUUUGGGUGUUAUCCGAAAGAGAACGAGUUAAGAAAAAUCCAAUAUACAUAUCCAUUGUUUGUCGUGAUCUAAUUUGCCCUGUAUUGAUUCUGUUGCUUAAUUUUGUGACUUUUAUUUCAGAAAGCUAGCCUUUUCACGACAUAUGUUUUUGUUUCCUUAGGUCCUGGUUAGGAUUUUUGGGUCUUACCAAAAAGGGUACGAGUUACACAGUUCCAUUGCUGAUCUUUCUUUACUGGGAUAUAUAUUGAUUUUGCAACUUGAUUUGUGAAUAUUCUGUUAGAAAGUUAGCUUUUUUUUUUACCACACAUUUGUUUAUUUUUUGUGUGUGUGUGUUCUGCAUCUUUUAUAGCUGGACGAUGGUUAUUAGUCUAGAUUAAUAUUGUCAUAGACUUCAAUUAUUAUACAACUUGCUGAAUAUGGUUGUUGGUGCAUAGAGAGAGAGAGAAACACUCUUGUGCUAAUUAAAUGUCGAGUCAAACUAAUUUUCACUACUCAAGAUAGAUAGACUCAGUACUAGAUCUCAUGAUUUCUUUGACUUAACAUUUGAACAGGCUACUGUUGGACCAGGCAAUACACUGAAACGGAUGAUGCAAAGUACAUGGAAAAGGUUAGAUUUUGUUUACUUAUUUAUAGUUUAACAUUUGUGCAUUUAUCAUUGGCUGUUUUAUGUUUUUGUGCUUGAGUUGUGAAUCAUAAAGAUUAUUGUUUUCUG
Molecule: long non-coding RNA, 1253 nt
Filed under: Capsella grandiflora
Lineage: Eukaryota; Viridiplantae; Streptophyta; Magnoliopsida; Brassicales; Brassicaceae
Description: long non-coding RNA (CGRA_LNC000336)
Source: RNAcentral